Long non-coding RNA from Neogale vison (American mink), 2528 nucleotides. RefSeq lists it as uncharacterized. The transcript is spliced from 7 exons. The record is from RefSeq and is a predicted model, not a curated record. Lineage: Eukaryota; Metazoa; Chordata; Mammalia; Carnivora; Mustelidae.
AUCAGAUGCAAACAGCACGAGGUUUAUUGAGUAGUCACAGGUGGUACUUGGCGAUGAUUUCUGUGUCUGGAGUCUUCUUUGUCACAUUCUCUGAUAUUUGCCUAUGUAGCUGAUGUCACUCAAGAACACGAGCGAAGUACUGCUUAUGGAUGGCUUAUCUCUUGAGGAAAUAUAAAUAAUAAACAGGUGCUAAGCACAUAAGUCCCUGCAAGCUCGUUGAAGCUCCUUGGAGUCGGAGAGAUGCUGCACCUCAGCCCUGCUAAUCCACUGUUAACUGCAUUGCUGGUUGUGUAUCUUUGAUGCUUCUUUGGCCGAUGGUACUGUAGAGAAAGGAAUUUUUUCGGCACAUGAUUGUUGAGUACAUGACACGAGUUGUAGGAGACCUUGUUUUUGGAUAGUGGAGUAUUAGAGAAUCAUUUCUAAUUUUCUGAGGUGGGUUAUGGCUUUAUGGUUCUGCAGGGGAAGACAGACGUGUACAAGAGGACAGGCUGAAGCCCUUGAGGUCAGAGUGUCAGGACUAGAGUGGCUGGGGGCGGGGAGGGAGAUGCCCUGUGAGCAUCUGUGGGUGUGUGUCCGGGAUGUGAACUUGCUGAGGCACGUGACAGUUGUUGAGGGGUGACAUUUUCCCUUCUUCUCUUCUAGGUUCGUUGGCUACCCUAGUCAUAAUUAAAUUGACAUCAAACAGAUUACCAGGGGGGAAACGUUUAAUUUUGUACAGAGCUCCACAAAGACCUGAGAGACCCAAAGGCAGUUGGGCAGUUGGAGCUGGUGUGCCAUCCUGCGCUGAGGAGAAAGGGGGGUGGGGCCUGGAGCUUCAGAGGGAAAGAAAACCGCUCACAGGACGAGGAGAAGAGCAAAUGUUUGACAAGAAGUGGAAGAAAUGCGAAAUCAGUUGCAGGAGUCUGACCUCACCUUCAACCACAAGAUCGCAGUUCAGGAAAGGAAUGCUCUGACUAACUGGGUAAGUGUUUUCCUUUUCCUCAUCUUUGGGGCACAGUCGGGCACAAAUGAACGUGGGUGUGUUUUUCUGCCACAGAUGCAGGCUUGGUAUUGGGAAACAAGGAUGAUGCAGCAGAGCAGGGAGAACGCCUACCUGAAAUACAAAUGACUGUGCGUGAUGAAAGGGGAGAUGCUGCCCGUGGGAUCCAUGAGGCGGGAACCGAUGCCGGGAAGGCCCGAGUUGCAGAAGCCUGUGUGGCAAGGGUAAUCAUUUUGUAAUCUGAAGACUUCCUUGAUCUCCAACAACCAGGCUCCAAUGAGUUUAUAUCUAGUCAAGAUAUGAAUGUUUCUGCCUGGUGGUCUGAAUGCUUUCCCUGCCCAUCCUGUCCCCUGUGCUUUGUCUCUCCUGUUAUCUCCCCAAUAAACUGUUCAUGGUUCUGUCUCUGUAACAUCUGAAAAGUUAUUGAUUUUUUUUUCUUAAUGACAAUUUGAGCUCCCAGAAGCCAGAACAAGCAAUUAGAGGAAUGGCUGCUAACAAUGUAAUUCUGGCCAGUGAGGAAGCUUGUAAGCGGCAGAUCUCAAGGGUGACAAAUGUGUCUUUCUAUCACUGUCUCCCAUUCUGCUGAACUCUUGACAUGAAGACUGUGGGAUAGGGUUGGGGCAGAGGUAGGGGAGAUACCUUUGGAGCUUGGAGCAUUUCACUAGCAGGGAUAGGAGGGCUGAAGUGGUAUUAAAGGGGGAGGAGAGAGAAUAGCCAAGACACUUUUAACCUAUUUAGGGUAUAAUAACAGUAAUGCUGAGUAAAAGAGGAGCAAACCUCACUGUAUUGCCUCUUCCCAAAAGAUCCUGUUGUCUGGACCCAGAAUUUAGGUUGUGCUGUUGGAAAUGAUGGCUUAGGUAUUUCAUGGCCUGGCUUGGGUCAGUUCAGGAAAUUAUCCACCAUUUAUUUUCCCAAGAAGAUACAUUCUGAGUUCCAAUUAGUCAAACUUUCUGAUACAUUUUUGGAAUGCAAUAAAGUUUUAAAUUGGGAAAUGCCUGUAGCUCCUCAUUAGCAUUCCUCUGUGCCAAUGCCUGUAAUCCUCUUUAGGAUGUAGUUUAAGAAAUCAUUCAGCAGAAAUGAGAAAUUCAUGUAUACUAAAGAAAGUAAUGAUCUUUAUCAAAUUUUAGGGGUACAGGGAGAUGCACUGGUUUGGGCUGGUAUUUCUGGAUUAAUAGAGGAGACUAAUUCCAUGCAAAAUAAUGCUAGAAGGCCAAUUAUGAUUUCAGAACACUGAAUAACAUAUCUAUUUUAGUUAAGAGUUUCUUUAUGUACCUAUGGGACUGACUUAAGUUCUGUGCUUUUGGAAAGUUCUGAUUUUUUUUCUUUGUAAGCUUACCAUACAUCAAUCCCAUGCUCCCUCCUUUCACUCACUGGCUCCAAUUCCUGUGUUUUUUGGCUUCGACUUUCCCAUAGUACAUAGCUGUGGUUGUCAAAAUCAUGUGUUGUGGUUUUAAAAAUUCACAAGGAGAUGGAUAAUGUUAAAUGCCAUGUUUUGUCAUAUUUACAUUCUGGUUUUCCAAGCAUUAUAUUAAAGAAACAAAAGACUCAU